Molecule: unclassified non-coding RNA, 250 nt
Filed under: Hevea brasiliensis (rubber tree)
Lineage: Eukaryota; Viridiplantae; Streptophyta; Magnoliopsida; Malpighiales; Euphorbiaceae
Source: RNAcentral
GAAAAAAAAGAAAAAAGUAGGAAAUCCCAUAAAGGAACGAACUUUGAGGUCCAACGUUAACUCACAUAAACUCAAAACAAAGUAAAUCAGAAGCGAUAUUUAAUGAAAUAGCUUAGCAGUCACCACAUCUACUUCCUUCUUCUAAUGAAAGAACUGACCCAAGAUCACAUCUUGGGUUCAUUGCCUCAGGUUUCCCAAUCUAAAUCGAAAGAUAUAUGAAAAACAAAACCCAGAAAUUUACAAACCCUGG